This 225-nucleotide unclassified non-coding RNA is filed under the name Hevea brasiliensis (rubber tree). The record is from RNAcentral. Lineage: Eukaryota; Viridiplantae; Streptophyta; Magnoliopsida; Malpighiales; Euphorbiaceae.
AUGUUGCACAUGUUACCUUUGAUAGGUUCAAUGGAUUUUUGGGUCUCCCUGUUGAAUUUGAGCCAGAAGUUUCCAGAAGGGCCCCCAGUGCUAGUACCACUGUAUUUGGAGUGUCAACGGAGUCCAUGCAAUUGUCUUUUGACUCCCGUGGUAAUAGUGUUCCAACUAUUCUACUUCUAAUGCAAAGGCGUUUGUAUGCUCAAGGAGGUCUACAGGCAGAAGGGA